AUGAACGCUGGCGGCGUGCCUAAUGCAUGCAAGUCGAGCGAACAGACGAGGAGCUUGCUCCUCUGACGUUAGCGGCGGACGGGUGAGUAACACGUGGAUAACCUACCUAUAAGACUGGGAUAACUUCGGGAAACCGGAGCUAAUACCGGAUAAUAUAUUGAACCGCAUGGUUCAAUAGUGAAAGACGGUUUUGCUGUCACUUAUAGAUGGAUCCGCGCCGCAUUAGCUAGUUGGUAAGGUAACGGCUUACCAAGGCAACGAUGCGUAGCCGACCUGAGAGGGUGAUCGGCCACACUGGAACUGAGACACGGUCCAGACUCCUACGGGAGGCAGCAGUAGGGAAUCUUCCGCAAUGGGCGAAAGCCUGACGGAGCAACGCCGCGUGAGUGAUGAAGGUCUUCGGAUCGUAAAACUCUGUUAUUAGGGAAGAACAAAUGUGUAAGUAACUAUGCACGUCUUGACGGUACCUAAUCAGAAAGCCACGGCUAACUACGUG
RNAcentral lists this ribosomal RNA (496 nucleotides) under uncultured bacterium. RNAcentral describes it as "partial 16S ribosomal RNA". It matches the Rfam family "Bacterial small subunit ribosomal RNA", at positions 29 to 507 of the family's 1533-position model. The record is from RNAcentral.